GUUUGAUCCUGGCUCAGAGCGAACGUUAGCGGCAGGCUUAACACAUGCAAGUCGAGCGAGAAAGGGGCUUCGGCUCCGAGUAAAGCGGCGGACGGGUGCGUAACACGUGGAUAAUCUGCCUCGUGGCGGGGGACAACAGUCCGAAAGGACUGCUAAUACCGCAUGUCAGGUCGGAAACUCCGGUUUCUGACGAAAAAGAGGGCGCCCGCAAGGGGCUCUCACCACGAGAUGAGUCCGCGUCCCAUCAGCUAGUUGGCGGUGUAAUAGACCACCAAGGCUUAGACGGGUAGCUGGUCUGAGAGGAUGACCAGCCACACUGGGACUGAGACACGGCCCAGACUCCUACGGGAGGCAGCAGUGGGGAAUAUUGGACAAUGGGCGAAAGCCUGAUCCAGCCAUGCCGCGUGAGUGAUGAAGGCCUUCGGGUCGU
RNAcentral lists this ribosomal RNA (430 nucleotides) under uncultured bacterium. RNAcentral describes it as "bacterial SSU rRNA". It matches the Rfam family "Bacterial small subunit ribosomal RNA", at positions 11 to 426 of the family's 1533-position model. The record is from RNAcentral.